Molecule: ribosomal RNA, 806 nt
Filed under: uncultured Pelagibacteraceae bacterium
Lineage: Bacteria; Pseudomonadati; Pseudomonadota; Alphaproteobacteria; Candidatus Pelagibacterales; Candidatus Pelagibacteraceae
Description: bacterial SSU rRNA
Rfam family: Bacterial small subunit ribosomal RNA
Source: RNAcentral
ACGCUGGCGGCACGCCUAACACAUGCAAGUCGAACGCAGUAGCAAUACUGAGUGGCAAACGGGUGAGUAUAAUGUGGGAAUCUGCCUUUUGGUUUGGAAUAACACGGGGAAACUUGUGCUAAUACCGAAUAAGCCUUUACAGGGAAAGUUUUAACGCCGAAAGAUGAGCCCGCACUUGAUUAGCUAGUUGGUAAGGUAAAAGCUUACCAAGGCAAUGAUCAAUAGCUGUUCUUAGAGGAAGACCAGCCACAUUGGGACUGAGACACGGCCCAGACUCCUACGGGAGGCAGCAGUGGGGAAUCUUGCACAAUGGGGGAAACCCUGAUGCAGCGAUGCCGCGUGAGUGAAGAAGGCCUUUGGGUUGUAAAACUCUUUCGUCGGGGAAGAAAAUGACUGUACCCGAAUAAGAAGGUCCGGCUAACUUCGUGCCAGCAGCCGCGGUAAUACGAAGGGACCUAGCGUAGUUCGGAAUUACUGGGCUUAAAGAGCUCGUAGGUGGUUAAAAAAGUUGAUGGUGAAAUCCCAAGGCUUAACCUUGGAACUGCCAUCAAAACUUUUUAGCUAGAGUGUGAUAGAGGUAAGUGGAAUUUCUAGUGUAGAGGUGAAAUUCGUAGAUAUUAGAAAGAACACCAAAUGCGAAGGCAACUUACUGGGUCACUACUGACACUGAGGAGCGAAAGCAUGGGUAGCGAAGAGGAUUAGAUACCCUCGUAGUCCAUGCCGUAAACGAUGUGUGCUAGACGUUGGAAAUAUAUUUUUCAGUGUCGCAGCGAAAGCAUUAAGCACACCGCCUGGGGAGUACGACC